This is an RNA transcript of Gossypium raimondii (Peruvian cotton), 3781 nucleotides long. It is a transcript of the gene named putative disease resistance protein At1g50180, with no coding region annotated. NCBI's taxonomy places the organism in Eukaryota, Viridiplantae, Streptophyta, Magnoliopsida, Malvales, Malvaceae. The transcript is spliced from 5 exons. The record is from RefSeq and is a predicted model, not a curated record.
CCUUUCUGUUUGUAUUCUCAUUCCAUUAAAUAAGAACUGCUUCGUUCACUUGUUUUCCCAGCAAGAUUUCUGCACUCACAUCUUGAAAUCCAAAUUCAAGAUUUUAAAGAAAUUUCUGAGCUCACUCACUAUUAUGGCUUGGUCUGCUGUGACAUCUGCAGUGAUAAAUAUUGGCAAGCUGCUAACUGAGGAAGCCAUAUACCUAUGGGGUGUGGAGGAGGAAGUUGAUCGUCUGCAAACAGAGCUCAAAUGGAUGCAAAGAUACUUAAUGGACGCAGAGACAAAACAAUCAAAGGAUGAGAUGAUUCGUCUUCGGGUUGCUGAAAUCAGAGAGCUUGCUUAUGAUGCUGAGGAUGUUGUCGAGGAAUUUGCUCUCAAGAUUGGAUCCAAAAACAAAGGAGGUCUUCGGAGUUGUAUUAAAAGAUCAGCCUGCUGUUUGAAAGAGGGAUGGGCACUCCACAAAACCAGGUCAAAAAUCGAGAAAAUCAUAGAAAGAAUCAACGACUUGGUCCGACGACUACAGGCCUACGGAGUUGAGGAAUCAAAGCCCAGAGAAGAAGAAUCAAGUUCUUCAACUGAAAGACGAGAAUCAAGGCGGCCUUAUCCACCUAUUAUGGAUGAUAAUAUUGUUGGACUAGUUGAUGAUACCGAGGGAUUGGUCAAAGUUCUUACGAACGAAAGUGGAUACAAGGUUGUUACAAUAUGGGGCAUGGGUGGUCUGGGAAAGACCACUCUCGCCACGAAAAUAUAUCACCAUCCUCAGAUUAGAAAUUAUUUCGAGCACUUAGCUUUUGUAUAUGUUUCUCAACCAUGCCAGAAAAUAAAUGUUUGGGAAGACAUUCUAUCUGGUUUCAAAACUUCAAAUGUCGAGGAUAGGAAGAAAAGAGACGAAGAAUUAGCAGAGGAUAGGAAGAAAAGAGAUGAAGAAUUAGCAGAGGGUAGGAAGAAAAGAGAUGAAGAAUUAGCAGAGGGUAGGAAGAAAAGAGAUGAAGAAUUAGCAGAGGAUAGGAAGAAAAGAGAUGAAGAAUUAGCAGAGGGUAGGAAGAAAAGAGAUGAAGAAUUAGCAGAGGCUAGGAAGAAAAGAGAUGAAGAAUUAGCAGAGGAUAGGAAGAAAAGAGAUGAAGAAUUAGCAGAGGGUAGGAAGAAAAGAGAUGAAGAAGAUCAAGACUUAAAAGAUGAGUUGAGUAAAACUUUGAAGGAUAAAAAGUGUCUGGUGAUACUUGAUGAUGUUUGGACCAGUGAAGCUUGGGAUAGUCUAAAACCUGCCUUUCCAGUUGAUAGCAAAAGCAAGAUAUUGCUCACCUCUAGAAACAGGGGGAUAGUUUCAGAUGCUGAGAUAAGAGAGUUGAAGUGCCUAGAAGAUGAAGAAAGUUGGGAAUUGCUUCAAAAGAUUGUAUUUCCUCAAACAGGAAAUAUAAUCGAUGUGAAAAUGAUAGAGUUGGGAAAGAACAUGGUUAAACAUUGUGCAGGGCUGCCAUUAGCCAUUGUUGUAUUGGGAGGAAUUUUGGCUACAAAGAAAAAUUCGUUAAUCGAAUGGCAAAAAAUAUCUGACAAUGUAAAAUCAUCCUUGAAGAGAGGCAAAAAUCAAGGACCAGAGGAUGUGUUAGCAUUAAGUUAUGAUGAUUUGCCUCCCUAUCUAAGACCAUGUUUCCUCUAUCUAAGCCAUUUUCCGGAGGAUUAUAUGAUAGAUGUGGAUAGAUUGAUUCAAUUAUGGGUUGCUGAAGGUAUUGUGUCAUCAAAGGAAGAAGAAAGAGAUGGUGGGGAAAUUGUGGAAGAUGUGGCGGAAUCUUAUUUAACGGAGCUUGUGGAAAGGUGUAUGAUUCAACUACGAGAAAGAAAUGAGGCAGCCUCAGAGAUCAGAGUGACCUCAAAGGUCAAGACGAUUCAGAUGCAUGAUCUGAUGAGAGAUCUUUGCUUAUCAAAGGCAAAACAAGAAAAUUUUGUCUUCAUUGUUGAUGGAUCGAAUGCAUCUUCAUUAUCUAUGAUUCGGAAGGUCCGUAGGGUUUCUGUGCAAGUGUCUUUUUUCAUACAAUGCAUUAAAAGUCCAAGUAUUCGGUCACUUUUGUUCUUCAAUCAGUUCUUUCCGGAGGAGGCAUUAGAAAAAUCUUUGCCCUUGGAAGUGUUGAACUACGUUAAAAAAUAUUAUGACGAUUGUUGUAAUCCACUAUUUUGGAUUCUUCUGAUUUUGGUAGGUUCUACAAGAUAUCUUAAAAUUCGGGGAUUUUGGAGAUACAUGUUCAACAACUUCAAAUUGCUAAGAGUCCUAAACUAUGACAAAAGAAGGUCAUAUUGUUUUUGGCUCGGGUGGGAUUUACCCAGUGAUAUAGGGAAUCUCAUCCAUUUAAGAUUCUUGAGUCUAAAGGAUCAUGAGUUCUUCUUGAGAAAGUUGCCAUCAUCUCUAGGCAACUUAAGGUGCUUGCAAACCUUGGAUUUAAGAGUUAAUUUUCCCGAAAUCCAUGUACCUAAUGUGAUAUGGAGGAUGGAGCAACUAAGACAUUUAUAUCUCCCUUCCGACUGUGAAAGCAGUACUAAGUUGAACUUGGGUACUUUGAGAAAACUCCUAACACUUGUGAACUUCAACACCAAGAAUUGUUAUCUGAAGGAUCUUAUCAACAUGACAAAUCUUAGAGAGUUGGAGAUAAAUUUGCCCUUCAAUAUUGAAAAUUUCAAAGUGUCGGGCGAGAAUCCACCCAUAAUCGGUAGUAAAUAUCUUCAUUCCUUGUUUAUUAUUGACAGGGCGGGCGAAUCAAUAGAUCCAACACAUUUGGCCCACCUCCUUUCAAAUUGUACAAGUAUUUGCAAGUUGAGUAUAGCAGCAGACAUAAGUAAGUUACCAGAGUCUCACUACUCUUCACAUCUCGCUUACAUAAGGUUGAGAUGGUGCAAGUUUGAGGAAGACCCAAUGCCAACACUAGAGAAGCUGCCUAACUUAAGGAUUCUUGAAUUCGAAUAUACUUUAGAAGGAAAGGAAAUGUUUUGCUCUGCUCAGGGUUUUCCUAAACUUGAGUCUCUAAUCUUUGACCAGCUCGGCAAAUUGGAGGACUGGAAGGUGGAUAAAGGAGCCAUGCCUUCUCUUCAGCGAUUGGAGAUCACGUAUUGCAAAAGACUGAAGAUGCUUCCAGAGGGAUUGAGGUUCAUUACAACCCUCAAAGAACUGAAGAUUGAAUCAAUGCCAAAGGCAUUCAAAGAUAAAUUGGAGGAAGGAGGAGAAGAUUUCUACAAAGUCCAACAUGUUCCUUCUAUCAUAUUCCAAAACUGUGGCUAAUAGAUUGAAUGAUAAUUGAGAGGUAAAGACGCCAUUUUUUCACCUGCUACUGCUAUUCACGGGAUCAAAGCUAGAUUUAAAACUCUUAUUAUAAGUGACGUGUGAAAGUGUGUUAUAUGGUGAGAUUUGGAAUUAUCUUCUCUCUUGUAUAUAUCUAUGGUUGUUGACAUCAGACUGGUUGACUGUUUGACAAUAAAACGGUUGCAAGAUAAGGUAUGGGAAGAAUGGGAGGUGUCUGGAUUAGCAAGAUAAGGAGACGUCACUGACCUUUGUUCCCACAUAGCUUUGGUUUGCGGCCACCAUUCCUAUAUUUAUUUGUUAGCUUUGCUUUCUCUUUCUUUUUUUUCCCUACUUAAGUCUGCUUGAGUCUUUUUCUUUUUUUAUAUGUACUUCAUGUAAUAGUAGAAGCCAAGGCAGGACCAUGCUUUUCUGUUGUAAAAUUCAUCACUUCGUUGUCUAUGUUCAUUUCUACUCUUCAGUUUACUUAAAUAUAAUUGUUUGAUAUAUAUUUGAAUA